RNAcentral lists this unclassified non-coding RNA (285 nucleotides) under Hevea brasiliensis (rubber tree). Lineage: Eukaryota; Viridiplantae; Streptophyta; Magnoliopsida; Malpighiales; Euphorbiaceae. The record is from RNAcentral.
GGAUGAUUGGUCUUCCAACUUGACAUCAAUCCUUGAAUGGUCUCCUUUCACAUCAAAGGACAAGAUCUUGGAACAGUUUGAGGAUAUUGGGCCACAUGGAACAAAAAUAAUAAUAUACAACUUAUGGCUGAAUGAUGAAGGCAUAUACGAAUUGAGUUUUGAUGAUGAUGAUGAGGAUAUACGGUUGAGGGAUGAAGCUAAUCGUGGAGGUCAAACAAAACUACACAAAAAAAUUGUUGAACUUCAAUCUCAUAUUUCUUAUCGCAUUCGCUAUUCAUUGAGGGC